RNAcentral lists this ribosomal RNA (793 nucleotides) under uncultured archaeon. RNAcentral describes it as "bacterial SSU rRNA". It matches the Rfam family "Archaeal small subunit ribosomal RNA", at positions 85 to 879 of the family's 1478-position model. The record is from RNAcentral.
ACGGCUCAGUAACACGUAGUCAACCUACCCUAUGGACGGGAAUAACCUCGGGAAACUGAGAAUAAUGCCCGAUAGAACAUUAUGCCUGGAAUGGUUUAUGUUUCAAAUGAUUUAUCGCCAUAGGAUGGGACUGCGGCCUAUCAGUUUGUUGGUGAGGUAAUGGCCCACCAAGACUAUUACAGGUACGGGCUCUGAGAGGAGUAGCCCGGAGAUGGGUACUGAGACACGGACCCAGGCCCUAUGGGGCGCAGCAGGCGAGAAAACUUUGCAAUGUGCGAAAGCACGACAAGGUUAAUCCGAGUGGUUUCUGCUAAAGAAACCUUUUGUCAGUCCUAGAAACACUAACGAAUAAGGGGUGGGCAAGUUCUGGUGUCAGCCGCCGCGGUAAAACCAGCACCUCAAGUGGUCAGGAUGAUUAUUGGGCCUAAAGCAUCCGUAGCCCGUUUUGUAAGUUUUCGGUUAAAUCCAUGCGCUUAACGUAUGGGCUGCCGGGAAUACUGCAUAACUAGGAAGUGGGAGAGGUAGACGGUACUCGGUAGGAAGGGGUAAAAUCCUUUGAUCUAUUGAUGACCACCUGUGGCGAAGGCGGUCUACCAGAACACGUUCGACGGUGAGGGAUGAAAGCUGGGGGAGCAAACCGGAUUAGAUACCCGGGUAGCCCCAGCUGUAAACUAUGCAAACUCAGUGAUGCAUUGGCUUAUGGCCAAUGCAGUGCUGCAGGGAAGCCGUUAAGUUUGCCGCCUGGGAAGUACGUACGCAAGUAUGAAACUUAAAGGAAUUGGCGGGGGAGCAC